Molecule: long non-coding RNA, 1148 nt
Filed under: Anas zonorhyncha (Eastern spot-billed duck)
Lineage: Eukaryota; Metazoa; Chordata; Aves; Anseriformes; Anatidae
Description: lncRNA (ENSAZOG00000015066.1)
Source: RNAcentral
ACUACAAAGAGAAUUAUAAUAUGAAGCGGGGAUAGGAUAUCAAUAUGUAUAGGCAUACUCAGGUUUCCUGUAAAUAUGUAACAGCAAUGUCCUAUAUAUAUUUGGAAAGUUCGACGGGUGGGUGUGCGUGUUGGUAGAGCAUAGGCUCCCCGCGCACUCAGCGCUGUUUACUUGCCUUUUAUAAAUAUUCUUUUAUGUUACUGUUAUAUAUGGAGUGGUAAUUCGUGACGAGAAAAUGGUUGAUAUUAAUAAAGAAGGGGGAGAUUUGGGAAUGUGGCCAUGGGGGUUGGAAAGCCCUGUGGUUGAGAUAACAUUAGACUCUUAACGACGAGGCCAUCAGGAAUAUAAAAGAGUUUAGAGGGAACAAAGAAGGGUGAUUCGGGAGACUCCAUGCAGUCUCUGGUUGCUUGUUCCCCAGCUGGUUCUCUUGUUCUAUAGCCAUUAAGGCAUGGAUGUUUCUGUGUGUUUGCUGUUGUUGUUACAUUCAAGGUUGUCUGACCAAUGAAAAGUUGUUUUGAAAAGAACUACUGUGGAGAGAAGGGUAUAAGAGGGGAGCCUGCCCUCAAGAAGAAAAAGAAAAAGGCAACACUGCGGAGUUAUGAUCAAUAAAGAAGCAGAAAGAACGAAUGAAGAGGAACAGGCUGGCAGAAUGGAGACCAGGACGGGAACAGGCACUUUGAUUGCCUCAUGAAGAUAGGUUCAGCCAGACUCAGCAAACCACUCAGAGAAGCUCGUACAGAAAGUUGCUGGAAAUAGGCGCACUGGAGAUGGAGAGAAGGCCGAGCUGAGAGAAGCGGACCUGUGCACACAACUGCCCUUUGCUGGGAGGACGACCUAUUUUGGAUCCAGCUCUCACACAGCAAGUUGCAGCUGAAAGGUGUUUUACAUCCAUUGAGCCACGUUCCUCUGUUGGCAGAACAGAUGAGCCCAAUGUUAAUGGUGAAAAUGGUACUGUUUUCAAUGCACAAUUAACCAGGUAAACACUGUGAUGAAUAAAAAAUAAAGCUGGCUUCAGGGAGGACCCAAUGACAGUUCAAAUCAGGUGUCUAGGUGCUUGUGACUCUCAAAACACCCUUAUAUCUGAACAGAUACUGUGUUUUUUUCCCACAUAAGAUCAAAUCACCUGCAUCAAAAGACAGAUCUUGUGG